CUGUUCGCGGCAAGCUUAAGUCGAUAGAUGUAGGCGCAGCGAAAGCGAGUCUGAACAGGGCGUUCAGUCGCGGCAGAAGACCCGAAACCGAGUGAUCUAGCCAUGGCCAGGCUGAAGGUGCGGUAACACGCACUGGAGGGCCGAACCCACGCCUGUUGAAAAAGUCGGGGAUGAGCUGUGGCUAGGGGUGAAAGGCCAAUCAAAACUCGGAGAUAGCUGGUUCUCCGCGAAAUCUAUUGAGGUAGAUCGUUAGGUGUUUACCCCGGGGGGUAGAGCACUGGAUGGGCUAGGGGGUCCCAAAGACUUACCAAACCUAACCAAACUCCGAAUACCCGGAAGUAUAGCCUGGCAGACAGACGGCGGGUGCUAAGGUCCGUCGUCGAGAGGGAAACAGCCCAGACCACCAGCUAAGGCCCCCAAAUGAUGGCUAAGUGGGAAAGGAUGUGGGGAUUCCAAAACAACCAGGAGGUUGGCUUAGAAGCAGCCAUCCUUUAAAGAAAGCGUAAUAGCUCACUGGUCUAAUAGAAACCCUGCGCCGAAAAUGUAACGGGGC
RNAcentral lists this ribosomal RNA (553 nucleotides) under uncultured bacterium. RNAcentral's name for it is "bacterial LSU rRNA". It matches the Rfam family "Bacterial large subunit ribosomal RNA", at positions 631 to 1181 of the family's 2925-position model. The record is from RNAcentral.